GCAGCAGUGGGGAAUAUUGGACAAUGGGCGAAAGCCUGAUCCAGCAAUGCCGCGUGAGUGAUGAAGGCCUUAGGGUUGUAAAGCUCUUUUACCCGGGAUGAUAAUGACAGUACCGGGAGAAUAAGCCCCGGCUAACUCCGUGCCAGCAGCCGCGGUAAUACGGAGGGGGCUAGCGUUGUUCGGAAUUACUGGGCGUAAAGCGCACGUAGGCGGCUUUGUAAGUUAGAGGUGAAAGCCCAGGGCUCAACCCUGGAAUUGCCUUUAAGACUGCAUCGCUAGAAUCAUGGAGAGGUGAGUGGAAUUCCGAGUGUAGAGGUGAAAUUCGUAGAUAUUCGGAAGAACACCAGUGGCGAAGGCGACUCACUGGACAUGUAUUGACGCUGAGGUGCGAAAGCGUGGGGAGCAAACAGGAUUAGAUAC
Molecule: ribosomal RNA, 420 nt
Filed under: uncultured Sphingomonas sp.
Lineage: Bacteria; Pseudomonadati; Pseudomonadota; Alphaproteobacteria; Sphingomonadales; Sphingomonadaceae
Description: bacterial SSU rRNA
Rfam family: Bacterial small subunit ribosomal RNA
Source: RNAcentral